GCAACUCGACUACAUGAAGCUGGAAUCGCUAUAAUCGCGAAUCAGAAUGUCGCGGUGAAUACGUUCCCGGGUCUUGUACACACCGCCCGUCACACCAUGGGAGUCAGUAACGCCCGAAGUCAGUGACCUAACCUAGUAGGAGGGAGCUGCCGAAGGUGGGACCGAUAACUGGGGUGAAGUCGUAACAAGGUAAC
RNAcentral lists this ribosomal RNA (194 nucleotides) under uncultured bacterium. Its description in RNAcentral is "partial 16S ribosomal RNA". It matches the Rfam family "Bacterial small subunit ribosomal RNA", at positions 1307 to 1500 of the family's 1533-position model. The record is from RNAcentral.